GACGAACGCUGGCGGCGUGCCUAAUACAUGCAAGUAGAACGCUGAAGAGAGGAGCUUGCUCUUCUUGGAUGAGUUGCGAACGGGUGAGUAACGCGUAGGUAACCUGCCUUGUAGCGGGGGAUAACUAUUGGAAACGAUAGCUAAUACCGCAUAACAAUGGAUGACACAUGUCAUUUAUUUGAAAGGGGCAAUUGCUCCACUACAAGAUGGACCUGCGUUGUAUUAGCUAGUAGGUGAGGUAAUGGCUCACCUAGGCGACGAUACAUAGCCGACCUGAGAGGGUGAUCGGCCACACUGGGACUGAGACACGGCCCAGACUCCUACGGGAGGCAGCAGUAGGGAAUCUUCGGCAAUAGGGGCAACCCUGACCGAGCAACGCCGCGUGAGGGAAGAAGGUUGUCGGAUCGUAAAGCUCUGUUGUAAGUCAAGAACGGGUGUGAGAGUGGAAAGUUCACACUGUGACGGUAGCUUACCAGAAAGGGACGGCUAACUACGUG
This 497-nucleotide ribosomal RNA is filed under the name uncultured bacterium. Its description in RNAcentral is "partial 16S ribosomal RNA". It matches the Rfam family "Bacterial small subunit ribosomal RNA", at positions 28 to 507 of the family's 1533-position model. The record is from RNAcentral.